GCCUUCGUGGUGUAACAGCAGCCCACUCGGCUCGUACUUGAGAGGUCCGGGUUCGAGUCCCGGCGAGGACA
RNAcentral lists this transfer RNA (71 nucleotides) under Stegodyphus mimosarum. It matches the Rfam family "tRNA". Rfam says of the family: Transfer RNA (tRNA) molecules are approximately 80 nucleotides in length. Their secondary structure includes four short double-helical elements and three loops (D, anti-codon, and T loops). Lineage: Eukaryota; Metazoa; Arthropoda; Arachnida; Araneae; Eresidae. The record is from Rfam by way of RNAcentral.